GGCCGGGUUUGUGUUGCUCUGUUAUUAUAAUGACAUGGUUUAGUUGGGGUUUGUGUUGCUCUGUCAUUAUAAUGACAUGGUUUUAGUUGGGGUUUGUGUUGCUCUGUCAUUAUAAUGACAUGGUUUUAGUUGGAGUUUGUGUUGCUCUGUCAUUAUAAUGACAUGGUUUUAGUUGGGAUUUGUGUUGCUCUGUCAUUAUAAUUUUGUGUUUUGAUUUAUGUACUGUUAUUUGUCUUUUGGUAUUUUUUU
Molecule: long non-coding RNA, 249 nt
Filed under: Mytilus galloprovincialis (Mediterranean mussel)
Lineage: Eukaryota; Metazoa; Mollusca; Bivalvia; Mytilida; Mytilidae
Source: RNAcentral